Molecule: ribosomal RNA, 253 nt
Filed under: uncultured prokaryote
Description: partial 16S ribosomal RNA
Rfam family: Bacterial small subunit ribosomal RNA
Source: RNAcentral
UACGGAGGAUCCAAGCGUUAUCCGGAAUCAUUGGGUUUAAAGGGCUCGUAGGCGGCCAACUAAGUCGGAUGUGAAAUCCCCAGGCUCAACUUGGGAACUGCAUCCGAUACUGGAUGGCUUGAAUCCGGGAGAGGGAUGCAGAAUUCCAGGUGUAGCGGUGAAAUGCGUAGAUAUCUGGAGGAAUACCGGUGGCGAAGGCGGCAUCCUGGACCGGCAUUGACGCUGAGGAGCGAAAGCCAGGGGAGCAAACGGG